GUAGGUGGCAAGCGUUGUCCGGAAUUAUUGGGCGUAAAGCGCGCGCAGGCGGUUCUUUAAGUCUGAUGUGAAAGCCCACGGCUCAACCGUGGAGGGUCAUUGGAAACUGGAGAACUUGAGUACAGAAGAGGAAAGCGGAAUUCCACGUGUAGCGGUGAAAUGCGUAGAGAUGUGGAGGAACACCAGUGGCGAAGGCGGCUUUCUGGUCUGUAACUGACGCUGAGGCGCGAAAGCGUGGGGAGCAAACAGGAUUAGAUACCCUGGUAGUCCACGCCGUAAACGAUGAGUGCUAAGUGUUAGGGGGUUUCCGCCCCCCUUAGUGCUGCAGCUAACGCAUUAAGCACUCCGCCUGGGAGUACCGGCGCAAGGCUG
RNAcentral lists this ribosomal RNA (372 nucleotides) under uncultured organism. RNAcentral's name for it is "partial 16S ribosomal RNA". It matches the Rfam family "Bacterial small subunit ribosomal RNA", at positions 527 to 896 of the family's 1533-position model. The record is from RNAcentral.